UCAUGACUGGGGUGAAGUCGUAACAAGGUAACCGUAGGGGAACCUGCGGUUGGAUCACCUCCUUACCUUAAAGAAGCG
This 78-nucleotide ribosomal RNA is filed under the name Escherichia coli. Its description in RNAcentral is "partial 16S ribosomal RNA". The stretch from base 1 to 65 matches the Rfam family "Bacterial small subunit ribosomal RNA", at positions 1469 to 1533 of the family's 1533-position model. The record is from RNAcentral. Lineage: Bacteria; Pseudomonadati; Pseudomonadota; Gammaproteobacteria; Enterobacterales; Enterobacteriaceae.